UAAAGGCAUGGUCCUGACCUUAUUAUUAGCUUUAACCCAACUUACACAUGCAAGUCUCCGCAACCCCGUGAGUAUGCCCUUAAUCCCCUGCCCGGGGACGAGGAGCGGGCAUCAGGCACAAAUUUUUAGCCCAAGACGCCUGGCCGAGCCACACCCCCAAGGGAAUUCAGCAGUGAUAAAUAUUAAGCCAUAAGUGAAAACUGACUCAGUAA
Molecule: ribosomal RNA, 212 nt
Filed under: Chondrostoma nasus
Lineage: Eukaryota; Metazoa; Chordata; Actinopteri; Cypriniformes; Leuciscidae
Description: partial 12S ribosomal RNA
Source: RNAcentral